CAUGUUUACAACUCGUUCCGUUGCCUAGGAAACGAGUGUUCAUAUCGAUAAAUACCGCUACUUGUCACAUGUUCCGAAGUUUAUGUUACGAGUAUGGCUGCUGUUCUGCCAGAUUCUGAUAGCGAAGACGAAUUACCGCCGGGAUGGGAAGAAAGAACCACGGUUGACGGCAGUGUUUACUAUGUGAACCAUGCAACAAAAGGAACACAAUGGACACACCCAAGGACAGGAAAGAAGAAAGUUGUGUCAGGAGAUCUUCCAUUUGGAUGGGAAAAAUGUGUGUCUGAAGACGGAAAAAUAUUUUAUGUUGAUCACGUAAAUCGUCGUACAACAUAUACUGACCCAAGACUGGCAUUUGCAACAGAAGAGAAGGAACAUCCACAUGACUUUCGUCAACGAUAUGAUGGUUCAACUACUGCUUUACAGAUUUUACAUGGCAGAGAUUUGACAGGAAAAGUUGCUGUAAUAACGGGUGCUAAUACAGGAAUAGGCUAUGAAACAGCAAGAUCAUUAGCAUUCCAUGGAUGCAUCGUAGUAUUUGCUUGUCGCAGUCAGUCGAGGGCUGAGGCAGCUAUAGCAAAAAUUCAAGCUGAAAGACCAAAUGCUCGAUGUAAUUUCAUUGAGUUAGAUCUUUGUUCACUGGCAAGUGUGAAGAUGUUUGUCGUCAAUUUUAGACACAUAUACCAGUCAUUGGACUAUCUCAUUCUUAAUGCAGCGAUUUUUGGGUUACCAUUCUCAUUGACGGGGGAUGGAUAUGAAACAUUGUUCCAAGUAAACCACUUGAGUCACUUUUAUCUCACACUGCUGCUUCUGUCAUCGCUGCAUUCAUCAUCUAGGAUUGUUGUUGUGUCUUCAGAAUCCCACAGGUCUUCGGAUUUGUGUCUCAACAAUAUUUCACAAAGUAAAUUAUCUCCCAGUUCAGGGAGUCAUUAUUGGUCUUUGAUGGCUUAUAAUCAUUCAAAACUCUGUAACAUUCUGUUUGCCAAUGAACUGGCCCGCAGAUGCUUAGAUAAGGGAGUAUGUGUGAAUUCUUUGCAUCCUGGAAACUUAGUGAGCUCAGAUUUACCUCGAAACUGGUGGUUUUAUCGACUUCUGUUUACCUUAGUCAGACCAUUUACAAAAUCAUUGGUGAGUAUUACUCAAAUCAUUCAUCCUUAUGAAAUCCCCAAACCACCUUCCAUACCCUCUGGCUCCUACCCUUGUAACAACCCCCGGUGCAAAACCUAACCCAUGCACUCUCCCACCACCACCUACUCCAGUCCUGUAACCCGGAGGUUAACCAAGAGGUUACGAAGCCACGUGUGAAAGCACCCACGUGAUUUACCAACUGACGUGCCUGCACUGUGAAGCCUUCUAUGUGGGCAUGACCAGCAACAAACUGUCCAUUUGCAUGAACGGACACAGGCAGACUGUGUUUGUUGGUAAUGAGGAUCACCCUGUGGCUAAACAUGCCUUGAUGCAUGGUCAGCACAUCUUGGCACAGUGUUACACUGUCCGGGUUAUCUGGAUACUUCCCACUGACACCAACCUAUCAGAACUCUGGAGAUGGGAACUUGCCCUUCAAUAUAUUCUCUCUUCCCGUUACCCACCAGGCCUCAGCCUCCGCUAAUUUCAAGUUGCCACCCCUUGUACAUCACUUGUCAUUCAACAACAUCUUUACCUCUGUACUUCCGCCUCGACUGACAUCUCUGCCCAACCUCUUUGCCUUUACAAAUGUCUGCCUGUGUGUGUGUAUAGGUGCGGAUGCAUGUGCGUGUGUGUGUGUGUGUGUGUGUGUGUGUGUGUGUGUGUGUGUCUGUGCGCGCAAGUGUAUACCUGUCCUUUUUCCCCCCUAAGGUAAGUCUUUCCGCUCCCGGGUUUGGAAUGACUCCUUACCCCCUCCCCUUAAAACCCACAUCCUUUCAUCUUUCCCUCUCCUUCCCUCUUUCCUGAUGAAGCAACUGUGGGUUGCAAAAGCUUGAAUUUUGUGUGUGUGUUUGAGUUUGUUUGUGUGUCUAUCAACAUACCAACACUUUUGUUUGGUAAGCUACAUCAUCUUUGUUUUCAGAUAUAUAAAGAUGAUGUAACUUACCAAACAAAAUCAUUGGUAUGUUGAUAGAGACGCAACAAACAUAUAUAUAUAGUGAUAUGGAAAGCUGUUUGUUUAUGGCUGUAUUAUGUAUGAAAAUGUAAGGAAAAGAAACUGAGAAAACAGUAAAAUCAUAAUGAGACAGAAUGGUUGGCCCAGGGAUGGUUUAAGGCCCAAGCUAUGUAAACUGCCACUUGGGGCACCAAGCUGAGAGGGACAUAAGUCACCAUAACUGUGUUAUUUCUAUGUAGGACAUACCAUAAUUAGUAGCAGUCACUUGGGUCAACGUGCUGAGAGGGGCACCCAAGUACAAGAUUUGUGUACAGUUUGUAUCACAGAUCGUACCUAAAACUGGAGUAUGUGAAAUUGUACAAGGGAAAAGGGUGGCACUAAAUGAUAAGUCAGUUGUGUGAGAAAAUGUUCCUGAAGUGGCCCUGGGUUGGUCACAACUUAUCUUUGGGUAGUGAAUGCCUACCUGUCCACAAGUGCCUCCCUCUCAUCCCGGGAUCUGAGUGACCUGCCCUCCUUUCCAACUUUUCACAGUCUGUCCCUCUUUCCCCACUGAGGAAGGAAGUAAUAGUUCUGGAACCUUAAGUGACAUUGCAGUUAGAUCAGAGCGACAGCUUCAGGUAAUUUGCAUUUUUGCUGUCUCGAAAUAAUUUAAGACAACACACUAAAUUACAGAGAAAUUAAUUCAUUAUUUGUUUAAUUUUGA
This is an RNA transcript of Schistocerca gregaria, 2783 nucleotides long. It is a transcript of the gene named WW domain-containing oxidoreductase, with no coding region annotated. The record is from RefSeq and is a predicted model, not a curated record. The transcript has 7 exons. Lineage: Eukaryota; Metazoa; Arthropoda; Insecta; Orthoptera; Acrididae.